RNAcentral lists this long non-coding RNA (4708 nucleotides) under Capsicum annuum. Its description in RNAcentral is "long non-coding RNA (CANN_LNC004363)". The record is from RNAcentral. Lineage: Eukaryota; Viridiplantae; Streptophyta; Magnoliopsida; Solanales; Solanaceae.
UUCUUCAUACUAAUCUUUAUCCUUUUUUCUAGGCAUGAACUCGCUUGUCGAGUCCCUCGGAUUUCCUUCUCUCACAUUUCGUUGGGUUAGACCAGACUUGCAUCGAGUCAAACCUCAGAUCCAAGUCCCUACGGGACUGAUUUCUCACUGGUAUACAAUUAUAUAUGGCUGGUAUACCUUGGAAGCAGCUGCUUCAUACUACUACACCGAGCAAAAAUAAAAAAAAUGUAGGGGAAAUAAGCAAUUUUUCAAAUUAAACUAUUUUCUUGAAAACGAUCAUGGAAUUUAAAUUUCACUUUCUAGCUAUUUUAAUUUACUGACUGGUUCUAUAUCGUUUUUACACAACUUUUAUAUAGGUUUUAUACAAAUCUUAUACAUAAAUAUUCUAUACGGAAAUUAUACAGUUUUGAUACAUAAUUUAUAUAAUAAUUGUACAUUUGCACUUCAAAUUAAACUAUUUCCUUGAAAAUGGCUUUCAUCUUGUUGAGAUUUUUCCUUCUUCGUGAAUGUCCAGAAUGUCACGUCCGAUAGCUAGUUGAAAUCCGGCCAUAUUUUAUAUAUUGUUGUGUUCACUGGAAGUAGAAAAUCCCAUGUUGUAAGUGGACUAGUCAAUAAAGACAUAAUGUUUAGUGGACCUAGAGAGAUGAAUAACUGGAAAACUUUGGUACAAAAGGAUAAGUUUAUCUUUUAUGAAUCAAUGAUGUGAAGAUGUUUUGUCUUGUGGGUGCGCAGCCAUUUUAAUGUUAGUUUUCUUUCCUUUCAUAUGUUUUCCAGUAAACUGUGAAGUCAUGGAAAGUCUUCACUUUUGGUUCAAAAUGGUGAAAUCAUGUUUACUUUUCUUUUCUUUUUUUCUCUUUUGGAGUUUUGCAAUAUAAAAGUUGGAAGUCUCAGAAAAAAUAGUAUUGUUAAUGUAUUUGAAAUUCAUAUGCGUGCUGAUGAUGAUUUGGUUGCGGGUCUCCAAUUUGAAAAGAAGUUGUUAGGACACUUAUAAAGUUAGUAUGGAUCAUGUCGGUAGAUGUAUAAUUCGUUAACCUUUACUAAACAUUUUGUGGGGAUUCUUGGUAAAAAUGAUAAUCUGUGCUAUUGGGUGUCGAUUGAAUCUUUUGAUUUCGUAACGGGAUGAGUUUGUGAGUAUAGAAUGUUGUUUUUUGAGCUAUGAAUGUGGUGCUUGAAAACUUGAUCUACUUCUUCAUACUAAUCUUUAUCCUUUUUUCUAGGCAUGAACUCGCUUGUCGAGUCCCUCGGAUUUCCUUCUCUCACAUUUCGUUGGGUUAGACCAGACUUGCAUCGAGUCAAACCUCAGAUCCAAGUCCCUACGGGACUGAUUUCUCACUGGUAUACAAUUAUAUAUGGCUGGUAUACCUUGGAAGCAGCUGCUUCAUACUACUACACCGAGCAAAAAUAAAAAAAAUGUAGGGGAAAUAAGCAAUUUUUCAAAUUAAACUAUUUUCUUGAAAACGAUCAUGGAAUUUAAAUUUCACUUUCUAGCUAUUUUAAUUUACUGACUGGUUCUAUAUCGUUUUUACACAACUUUUAUAUAGGUUUUAUACAAAUCUUAUACAUAAAUAUUCUAUACGGAAAUUAUACAGUUUUGAUACAUAAUUUAUAUAAUAAUUGUACAUUUGCACUUCAAAUUAAAUUAUUUUCUUGAAAAUGAUUGGAAUUUAAAUUUCACUUUGUAGCUAUUUUAAUUUACUGAUUGGUUCUAUAUCGUUUUUACACAACUUUUAUACAGGUUUUACAAAAAUCUUAUACAUAAAUAUUCUAUACGGAAAUUAUACAGUUUUAAUACAUAAUUUAUAUAAUAGCUGUAUUUUUUUUUACACGUUUUAUACAAUAAUUAUAUAAUUUGUACACUUUCUAUACUUUGUACAUAUACAUAUUUGAUAGAAUUAUACAAUUUUUAUACAUAUAUCUUAUGUAGAUUCAUAUUCUAUUUAAUAAUUUUAUCUUUUUUAUAUAAUUUAAUUAUUAUUUCUAAACAAUAAAAAAAAAGUAAAAUAUUUGAUCAAUUUAAAAAUUUAUAGUAAAAAAAAGAUUGAAAUAUUUUUUAAAGGGUCGAGUUGCUCAAGUUGAAUAUUAUAUCAGUAUUGUAUAUAGAUUGUAUUAGUAUCGUAUAUGGACUGUAUAUAAACUACCUGGAUCAAAAUGAUCGAAAUUGGGAAAGAUUAGGAAAUGGUCAUAAAAUGACAUUUGUUUAGCCGACUGGAUAUUAUUUGUCCAAAUGUCAAACUUGGGUUAUAAUUGGACUAUUAUUUUUUAAAAAGGUCAUAGAGUGUCAUUUUCUCUAAUUUUAACUCAUUUUUUAUUUUCUGUUGUUGCUUAUUUGUAUUUAUUUGGUUAAAAUUUAUAUAUAUACACAAGGUAACUUUACAUUAUUAUAAUAAAUCUCAUAUUGACAAAGUAAUUACAUAAAUUCCAAAGUUAUUACUAAAAUUUCCCAUUUUUUUACUCUCUUUCAUUCUUCUUAUACAUCCCUAAAAAAGGGAUCUGUAUCCUUACUUUUUCUCUCUUUUCCACAUUUGCUUCUUUUUUUUCAUUAAACAAUUCUUUACUUUCUCUCUUUUUCCAUAUUUGUUCCUUUUUUUCCUCUCAUUUAACAAUUCUUUACUUUCUUUCUCUUUACCAUAUUUGUUCUUUUUUCUUUCAUUAAACAAUCGAUUGUUCCUCUAUUAUUGAAUACCCUUUUUCACACUCAAAUUAAAGCAAUUGUAUAUUUAGAGGUUACCAAUUUAUAAAUUAUCAAACAUUUAUUGAACUUACUGAUUUUAUUCACUAAUUUUUAAUUUUUUUUUUUAACUUUACCAAAUCAAAAUAUGGUUCGAUUUUUGGUUGCAUGUUUGUUUUUUUAUGAAAUUAAUUAUUUUUGCAAAUUCAUUUCAGUGUGAUGGUUCGAUAAUAUCUUUUUUUUUCCAAUUAUUAAAAGUCAGAUUUUUGUAUUUUUAUUUUAAUGUUGUUAGUUUUUAUUCGGAUUCUUGUUUGGUUGCAUAUUGAUUUUUCUGAAAUUACCUUAUUUUGCAAUCUCAUUCUAGUUUGUUAGUUGCAUUUUUUCAUUUUUUUCAUAUGAUACAAGUCAGAUCUUUUAAUUUCUUGUUUAUAGUUGCGAUUGCUUAAUCAAUAUAGUAUAAAUUUAGUAAUGGAUUUUCGUUCUAGCUUUAGUUUAGGAUUUAGUCAGUUAGAUGCUCAAUAACAAAAUAUUUUUGUUGAUUUUGUUCCUGGCAUAUUUGAUAUUAUACAAUAACAACAACAAACUCAGUGUAUUCCCACCUAGUGAGAUCUGCGGGGUAGGAUGUACGCAGUCCAUACCACUACUUCAGGAGAAGUAGAAAGACUGUUUCCAAUUGAUCCCCGGCUCAAAACAAGGAGUAAUAAACAAAUACUUAAUAAAGCAUGGAACAAGAUGUCAAGACAUAAAUACGCCAUCCACAAGGAAUAAUAAACAAAGAAUAGUAACCACAUUCGUAAUAAGGCAUGCAACAAAGUGUCCUAGUAAGAAUAAUACAUCUACCAAGUAAUGUUCUACCCUACGACUCAAACUGGCACUUGCCUUCUAUCCUAAUCCGCAUCCUCCAGAUCUUUCUAUCUAGGGUCAUGUCCUCAGUGAGCUAUAACUGCUCCAUGUCCCGCUUAAUUACCUCUCUCCAGCAUUUGAUAUUAUACAUUUAUAUUAUUUGACUAUACAUUAUUUUAUUUAUCAGACUAAUGUCUAAUAUUAGUUUUCUGCUUUAUGUUCAAUUAUAUUAUACAAUAAGAAGAUGUACAUAAAAGAGGCAGUUAUUGUAAUAAGUGGAAUUAUACAUUGUGAAUGUUUAAAUAUUGUAUAAGGUGACAUUAUAUAUUCUUACUUUGAUCAAAGUUUUGCACUUUUUAAUAUUGUAUAAGGUGACAUUAUACAUUCUUACUUUAGCCAAAGUUUUGCACUUAAUAGUGUGAUAUUAUACAUUAUGGAAUAUUACAUUAUAAUGUAUAAGUUAUAAUAUAUCAGUCAUUAUACAUUACCUAUUUUGAAAGGUAACAUUAUACAAUCUAACAAGCUUAUAAGUCAUACAUAUUUAAGGUGAAAUUGUGUAUUAUGACAUACAUUACUGUAGUUUAUUAUUUAAAUGCAUAAGUUAUUCUCAUACAUGUCUAACUGUUGUUUAAUUAUGAUCUGAUUUAUUUUUUAAAUGUAUAAGUUAUCAUCACUCAUGUGUAACUGUUAUGUAAUUAGGGCCUGAUUUUAUUUUUUCAGGACAUGAAAUACCGAUUGAACCAUUUAAGUAUAUUUGAUUUUUUUACAUGUAUAACGAUGUUAUAAUUAUUGAACGGACUGUUACUUCAUCGUUUUUUCUUUUAAUCAGGAAUUGUGACGUCUUUGUGUCGGCCUAUGCAAAAAUAUUAAGUGAAGGGCAGCAAGUCCAUUCACGUGGGUUUGAUGCUGGAACUUAAUGUGCACACUAUGCUUUAUUACUAUGCCAUUAAGGAAUGACAAAGGCAAAAGAAGGAAGGAUACACGAGUGAUAAUAAAGAUCCGAGAAAUAGUUAUCUUCAAACAAUUGAUGAAAGUGCACUUGUUACUUUAGAGUAGAAUUUUUUUAUAAUAGUCGUCAUUGAAACAACUAAGUUUUUUAUGUUAAACGGUUACAGUGUUACUUUUUGAAUGGUAAUUAACAUUUUAUGAAUUUCCUUAUUUUUAUUAUACAUACAUAUCUUCUGAAGAAAUGUUUUG